This 357-nucleotide ribosomal RNA is filed under the name Triticum aestivum (bread wheat). RNAcentral describes it as "partial small subunit ribosomal RNA". The record is from RNAcentral. Lineage: Eukaryota; Viridiplantae; Streptophyta; Magnoliopsida; Poales; Poaceae.
AUGGUAGCCAUUCCUAUUCAUUUUCUUGCUAAUUUAAUCCAACUCAUGGUUAAGCUAACCGUUCGUUUUUUGUUCAGAGCUAACCAAAAUUUGGCAAGCCGAAUAUCUGGCAUUUUUUUUGAGAGAGAAUCUGUUUUUGAUGGCAAGCCGAAUAUCUGGCAAAAGUUUGGGCUAAAACAGCGUUCCGAGGCCCAUGAGCUUAAUGAAAUAGCGCAAACGAUCCUUCAGCCCAAUCCCGGUCCGACUCUGACACGCUUCCACUCCAUUAAAAAGCCCGCUGUUCCUAAACCCAAUCCCGAAUUCCCCAAAGUCCCCGAGACAAAUCGCCCUCGCGUUAGGUUAGGCCGAGGCGAGUAG